This 531-nucleotide ribosomal RNA is filed under the name Protosticta grandis. Its description in RNAcentral is "partial 16S ribosomal RNA". It matches the Rfam family "Bacterial large subunit ribosomal RNA", at positions 1829 to 2619 of the family's 2925-position model. Lineage: Eukaryota; Metazoa; Arthropoda; Insecta; Odonata; Platystictidae. The record is from RNAcentral.
GUCCUCUUGUUUUUAUUAUGAGGUUUGGCCUGCCCGGUGAUUUAUUUUAACGGCCGCGGUAUAUUGACCGUGCAAAGGUAGCAUAAUCAUUAGCUCUUUAAUAGGGAGCUGGUAUGAAGGGUUUGACGAGGAGUUAACUGUCUCUUUUUGAUUUUUUGAAUUUAACGUUUUGGUUAAAAGGCUUAAAAAUUUUGUUGGUAGACGAGAAGACCCUAUAGAGCUUUACAUUUAUUUUUCUUUAUUUUUCUUGUUUUAUUUUGAUUUAUUUUUAUGUAUUUGUUUUGUUGGGGUGAUGUUUGGAUAAGAUUAACUUCUUUUUUUUGUUUUCAUUGAUUUAUGUUUUUUUGAUCCGCUUUUUGCGAUUUUUAGAUUAAGUUACCUUAGGGAUAACAGCGUAAUCUUUUCUUGGAGUUCUUAUUUUCGAAAGGGAUUGCGACCUCGAUGUUGGAUUAAGAUUAAUAUUAGGUGCAGCUGCUUUAUUAUUAGGUCUGUUCGACCUUUAAAUUCUUACAUGAUCUGAGUUCAGACCGG